UGCGUUGGCGGCCGAGUAAGUCAGUGGUGAAAGCCCAUCGCUCAACGGUGGAACGGCCAUUGAUACUGCUAGACUUGAAUUAUUAGGAAGUAACUAGAAUAUGUAGUGUAGCGGUGAAAUGCUUAGAGAUUACAUGGAAUACCAAUUGCGAAGGCAGGUUACUACUAAUGGAUUGACGCUGAUGGACGAAAGCGUGGGUAGCGAACAGGAUUAGAUACCCUCGUA
RNAcentral lists this ribosomal RNA (225 nucleotides) under uncultured Flavobacterium sp. RNAcentral's name for it is "partial 16S ribosomal RNA". It matches the Rfam family "Bacterial small subunit ribosomal RNA", at positions 568 to 792 of the family's 1533-position model. Lineage: Bacteria; Pseudomonadati; Bacteroidota; Flavobacteriia; Flavobacteriales; Flavobacteriaceae. The record is from RNAcentral.